RNAcentral lists this transfer RNA (69 nucleotides) under Rattus norvegicus (Norway rat). It matches the Rfam family "tRNA". From Rfam's summary of the family: Transfer RNA (tRNA) molecules are approximately 80 nucleotides in length. Their secondary structure includes four short double-helical elements and three loops (D, anti-codon, and T loops). Lineage: Eukaryota; Metazoa; Chordata; Mammalia; Rodentia; Muridae. The record is from Rfam by way of RNAcentral.
GGGGAUUUAGCUCAGUGGUAGAGCACUUGCCUACCAAGUACAAGGCCCUGGGUUCGGUCCCCAGCUCCA